GAUGAACGCUGGCGGCGUGCCUAAUACAUGCAAGUCAAGCGAACAGACGAGGAGCUUGCUCCUCUGACGUUAGCGGCGGACGGGGGAGUAACACGUGGAUAACCUACCUAUAAGACUGGGAUAACUUCGGGAAACCGGAGCUAAUACCGGAUAAUAUAUUGAACCGCAUGGUUCAAUAGUGAAAGACGGUUUUGCUGUCACUUAUAGAUGUAUCCGCGACGCAUUAGCUAGUUGGUAAGGUAAUGGCUUACCAAGGCAACGAUGCGUAGCCGACCUGAGAGGGUGAUCGGCCACACUGGAACUGAGACACGGUCCAGACUCCUACGGGAGGCAGCAGUAGGGAAUCUUCCGCAAUGGGCGAAAGCCUGACGGAGCAACGCCGCGUGAGUGAUGAAGGUCUUCGGAUCGUAAAGCUCUGUUAUUAGGGAAGAACAAAUGUGUAAGUAACUAUGCACGUCUUGACGGUACCUAAUCAGAAAGCCACGGCUAACUACGUG
Molecule: ribosomal RNA, 497 nt
Filed under: uncultured bacterium
Lineage: Bacteria
Description: partial 16S ribosomal RNA
Rfam family: Bacterial small subunit ribosomal RNA
Source: RNAcentral